RNAcentral lists this ribosomal RNA (777 nucleotides) under uncultured methanogenic archaeon. RNAcentral describes it as "bacterial SSU rRNA". It matches the Rfam family "Archaeal small subunit ribosomal RNA", at positions 142 to 919 of the family's 1478-position model. The record is from RNAcentral. Lineage: Archaea; Methanobacteriati; Methanobacteriota.
GAGGAUAAUACUCCAUAGAAUCAUAGGAUCUGGAAUGACUUAUGGUCAAAAGUUCCGGCGCCAUAGGAUUGGUCUGCGGCCUAUCAGGUAGUAGUGGGUGUAACGGACCCACUAGCCAAUGACGGGUAUGGGCCUUGAGAGAGGGAGCCCAGAGAUGGAUUCUGAGACACGAAUCCAGGCCCUACGGGGCGCAGCAGUCGCGAAAACUUCACACUGGAGGCAACUCCGAUGAGGGAAUUCCUAGUGCUAGCACGUUAGUGUUAGCUUUUCUUAAGCGUAGAUAACUUAAGGAAUAAGGGCUGGGUAAGACGGGUGCCAGCCGCCGCGGUAAUACCCGCAGCCCAAGUGGUGGUCGAUUUUAUUGAGUCUAAAAUGUUCGUAGCCGGUUUGGUAAAUCUUUGGGUAAAUCGAGAAGCUUAACUUUUCGACUUCCGAGGAGACUGCCAAACUUGGGACCGGGAGAGGCAAGAGGUACUUCUGGGGUAGGGGUAAAAUCCUGUAAUCCUAGAAGGACCACCGGUGGCGAAGGCGUCUUGCUAGAACGGAUCCGACGGUGAGGGACGAAGCCCUGGGUCGCAAACGGGAUUAGAUACCCCGGUAGUCCAGGGUGUAAACGCUGCAGACUUGGUGUUGGAGACCCUAUGGGGGUGUUCAGUGCCGGAGAGAAGUUGUUAAGUCUGCUACUUGGGGAGUACGUCCGCAAGGAUGAAACUUAAAGGAGUUGGCGGGGGAGCACCGCNACGGGAGGAGCGUGCGGGUUUAAUUGGAUUCAACACC